GUUUUUCAUGCGCAACAGAGUGGGGCAGCCAUUUUCUCUCUCUAUCCAAUUGAAGAAACUACAGUCCUGGUGACAUAUUAUCGAUUAUUUAUUCAAUAAAACAACUUGAGAAUUGAUUAUAAAAACAUUUGACAUGUUUCUCAUGAACUUUACGGAUACUAUUUGGAAUUUUUGUCUGCCCCGUUGUGACCGCUCGAGCCUGUGGAUUUCUGAACAUACGGCGCCAACCAAAUGGAGGUAUUUUGGAUAUAAAAAUUAUCUUUAUGGAACAAAAGGAACAUUUAUUGUGUAACUGGGAGUCUCGUGAGUGCAAAGAUCCGAAGAUCAUUGAAGGAAUGCCUGUCAUGAAGAUCUGGAUUCAGAGCAGGAAGACAAGAAGAUGGUUUUAGUGUCAUCACUUAAGAGCUAUGAAGCUUGGGCUCUCAGGCAGAGGAUUACCAACUGGUGCUGGAGAGUGAUGGACUAGAGGUGGAUAAGGAUGAGAUUUUCCUAGAACUCCACACUAGCACUUUUAUAGUCUUGAUGGGGGGAGAGUGCUGGGAGCCCAUGUCAUGGAAUUCAGCAGGGUGAGCUGAGAAUGAUGUCAGUCUUGGCAGCCAUGGAGGAGGGCACCAAAUUUGACCGAGG
Long non-coding RNA from Oncorhynchus tshawytscha (Chinook salmon), 627 nucleotides. Lineage: Eukaryota; Metazoa; Chordata; Actinopteri; Salmoniformes; Salmonidae. The record is from Ensembl.